UGCCAGACUCCUACGGGAGGCAGCAGUGGGGAAUAUUGCACAAUGGGGGAAACCCUGAUGCAGCAACGCCGCGUGAGUGAAGAAGUAUUUCGGUAUGUAAAGCUCUAUCAGCAGGGAAGAAGAUGACGGUACCUGACCAAGAAGCCCCGGCUAACUACGUGCCAGCAGCCGCGGUAAUACGUAGGGGGCAAGCGUUAUCCGGAUUUACUGGGUGUAAAGGGAGCGUAGACGGUUGUGCAAGUCAGAAGUGAAAGCCCGGGGCUCAACUCCGGGACUGCUUUUGAAACUGUGAAACUGGAGUGCAGGAGAGGUAAGCGGAAUUCCUGGUGUAGCGGUGAAAUGCGUAGAUAUCAGGAGGAACACCAGUGGCGAAGGCGGCUUACUGGACUGUAACUGACGUUGAGGCUCGAAAGCGUGGGGAGCAAACAGGAUUAGAUACCCCUGUA
This 446-nucleotide ribosomal RNA is filed under the name uncultured bacterium. RNAcentral describes it as "bacterial SSU rRNA". It matches the Rfam family "Bacterial small subunit ribosomal RNA", at positions 329 to 792 of the family's 1533-position model. The record is from RNAcentral.